GAUGAACGCUAGCUACAGGCUUAACACAUGCAAGUCGAGGGGCAGCAUGGAAGAAGCUUGCUUCUUCUGAUGGCGACCGGCGCACGGGUGCGUAACGCGUAUCAAACCUGCCUCAUACUCGGGGAUAGCCUUGCGAAAGUAAGAUUAAUACCCGAUGUUGUUAUGUUGCUGCAUGGUGAUAUAACCAAAGAUUUAUCGGUAUGAGAUGGUGAUGCGUCCGAUUAGGUAGUAGGCGGGGUAACGGCCCACCUAGCCAUCGAUCGGUAGGGGUUCUGAGAGGAAGGUCCCCCACACUGGAACUGAGACACGGUCCAGACUCCUACGGGAGGCAGCAGUGAGGAAUAUUGGUCAAUGGACGGAAGUCUGAACCAGCCAAGUAGCGUGCAGGAUGACGGCCCUCUGGGUUGUAAACUGCUUUUAGUUGGGAAUAAAAAAGAGGACGUGUCCUCUAUUGUAUGUACCUUCAGAAAAAGGACCGGCUAAUUCCGUGCCAGCAGCCGCGGUAAUACGGAAGGUCCAGGCGUUAUCCGAAUUUAUUGGGUUUAAAGGGAGCGUAGGCGGAUUAUUAAGUCAGUGGUGAAAGACGGUGGCUCAACCAUCGUUAGCCAUUGAAACUGGUAGUCUUGAGUGCAGACAGGGAUGCUGGAACUCGUGGUGUAGCGGUGAAAUGCUUAGAUAUCACGAUGAACUCCGAUCGCGAAGGCAGGUGUCCGGGCUGCAACUGACGCUGAGGCUCGAAAGUGUGGGUAUCAAACAGG
Molecule: ribosomal RNA, 758 nt
Filed under: uncultured Prevotella sp.
Lineage: Bacteria; Pseudomonadati; Bacteroidota; Bacteroidia; Bacteroidales; Prevotellaceae
Description: bacterial SSU rRNA
Rfam family: Bacterial small subunit ribosomal RNA
Source: RNAcentral